AUGAAUAGUCUAAUGAUUUAUAGUUGUUGUACUCUAUUGUUAUAAUAUGUCUUUUUGACUGAAUACAUGUUUGUUUUAUUUGUCUAUAUCCUAGAUUCGCAGCUGGACACAUCCUUCUACACUGUAUGCAAACAUGCAACAUCAUUACACACAGUACAAGGAGUCAGACUGGCAUAUGAGGAGCAAAGGAACCCAGGCAGUAGCAUCGUUUCACAAUGUUUCCAUCACCAUCAUCAGUGGAUGCCUUUGCCGUCCGUAGCCUGAGAUUUCAGAUUUGCAGCAAAAAAAAAAAUUGAUUUUCUCAUUUAUUGGAAUGCUGUGCAGGUUGUACCUUGCAGCCAUCCAUUACAAUGUCACCAAGCCAUAACAAAACCAGGAGAGGGAAAGUACAAGGCUAUGUUCCCAAAACACACAAGUGACAUACCUUAUGUGGAUGAUGUGAUCAGGCUUGUGUUUGAUGAGGUAUUUGAAGAUAAGCUGAAGGAAACCCCGAUUCCAAUGGACCUGGCAUCACAGUUUGAGAGACCUUCAAAGGAGGACGUGAUUGCAUGCCAUCUUCAGGGCAGGGGUCGUCGAAAGCCAAAAUUGUGACCGAUCUGAUCAGGAAGCUCCAAGCAUAUCUGGAGAACAACACACGACAGGAUGAUAAUCCUAUAGUGUCGUCUUAAAUAGCACCAGCUGACAAAGCUUUGAU
Molecule: non-coding RNA, 694 nt
Organism: Paramisgurnus dabryanus
Lineage: Eukaryota; Metazoa; Chordata; Actinopteri; Cypriniformes; Cobitidae
Source: RefSeq, a predicted model, not a curated record